This 3041-nucleotide ribosomal RNA is filed under the name Klebsiella oxytoca. RNAcentral's name for it is "bacterial LSU rRNA". It matches the Rfam family "Bacterial large subunit ribosomal RNA". The record is from RNAcentral. Lineage: Bacteria; Pseudomonadati; Pseudomonadota; Gammaproteobacteria; Enterobacterales; Enterobacteriaceae.
GGGUUGUGAGGUUAAGCGACUAAGCGUACACGGUGGAUGCCCUGGCAGUCAGAGGCGAUGAAGGACGUGCUAAUCUGCGAAAAGCGUCGGUAAGGUGAUAUGAACCGUUACAGCCGGCGAUGUCCGAAUGGGGAAACCCAGUGCAAUUCGUUGCACUAUCGUUAACUGAAUACAUAGGUUAACGAGGCGAACCGGGGGAACUGAAACAUCUAAGUACCCCGAGGAAAAGAAAUCAACCGAGAUUCCCCCAGUAGCGGCGAGCGAACGGGGAGCAGCCCGGAGUCUGAAUCAGCUUGUGUGUUAGUGGAAGCGUCUGGAAAGUCGCAGGGUACAGGGUGAUACUCCCGUACACUAAAACGCACAGGUUGUGAACUCGAAGAGUAGGGCGGGACACGUGGUAUCCUGUCUGAAUAUGGGGGGACCAUCCUCCAAGGCUAAAUACUCCUGACUGACCGAUAGUGAACCAGUACCGUGAGGGAAAGGCGAAAAGAACCCCGGCGAGGGGAGUGAAAAAGAACCUGAAACCGUGUACGUACAAGCAGUAGGAGCCCCACCACCAAAGCGUUUCGCUUUGCGUGGUGCGCAAAAUGCGUAACGACAGCAUGAUGGACGGUUAACGGAGCGUAAGCGACGUUCAACCUCAAAAAUCAGGCAGUGGAGCGUUUUGGGGUGGGGUGACUGCGUACCUUUUGUAUAAUGGGUCAGCGACUUAUAUUCUGUAGCAAGGUUAACCGUAUAGGGGAGCCGCAGGGAAACCGAGUCUUAACUGGGCGUUAAGUUGCAGGGUAUAGACCCGAAACCCGGUGAUCUAGCCAUGGGCAGGUUGAAGGUUGGGUAACACUAACUGGAGGACCGAACCGACUAAUGUUGAAAAAUUAGCGGAUGACUUGUGGCUGGGGGUGAAAGGCCAAUCAAACCGGGAGAUAGCUGGUUCUCCCCGAAAGCUAUUUAGGUAGCGCCUCGUGAAUUCAUCUUCGGGGGUAGAGCACUGUUUCGGCUAGGGGGUCAUCCCGACUUACCAACCCGAUGCAAACUACGAAUACCGAAGAAUGUUAUCACGGGAGACACACGGCGGGUGCUAACGUCCGUCGUGAAGAGGGAAACAACCCAGACCGCCAGCUAAGGUCCCAAAGUCAUGGUUAAGUGGGAAACGAUGUGGGAAGGCCCAGACAGCCAGGAUGUUGGCUUAGAAGCAGCCAUCAUUUAAAGAAAGCGUAAUAGCUCACUGGUCGAGUCGGCCUGCGCGGAAGAUGUAACGGGGCUAAACCAUGCACCGAAGCUGCGGCAGCGACACUAUGUGUUGUUGGGUAGGGGAGCGUUCUGUAAGCCGUUGAAGGUGGCCUGUGAGGGUUGCUGGAGGUAUCAGAAGUGCGAAUGCUGACAUAAGUAACGAUAAUGCGGGUGAAAAACCCGCACGCCGGAAGACCAAGGGUUCCUGUCCAACGUUAAUCGGGGCAGGGUGAGUCGACCCCUAAGGCGAGGCCGAAAGGCGUAGUCGAUGGGAAACAGGUUAAUAUUCCUGUACUUGGUGUUACUGCGAAGGGGGGACGGAGAAGGCUAUGUUGGCCGGGCGACGGUUGUCCCGGUUUAAGCAUGUAGGCGGAUGUUCCAGGUAAAUCCGGAACGUCACUAACGCUGAGGUGUGAUGACGAGGCACUACGGUGCUGAAGUGACAAAUGCCCUGCUUCCAGGAAAAGCCUCUAAGCAUCAGGUAACAUCAAAUCGUACCCCAAACCGACACAGGUGGUCAGGUAGAGAAUACCAAGGCGCUUGAGAGAACUCGGGUGAAGGAACUAGGCAAAAUGGUGCCGUAACUUCGGGAGAAGGCACGCUGAUGGUAGGUGAAGUGACUUGCUCACGGAGCUGAAAUCAGUCGAAGAUACCAGCUGGCUGCAACUGUUUAUUAAAAACACAGCACUGUGCAAACACGAAAGUGGACGUAUACGGUGUGACGCCUGCCCGGUGCCGGAAGGUUAAUUGAUGGGGUUAUCCUCGCGGAGAAGCUCUUGAUCGAAGCCCCGGUAAACGGCGGCCGUAACUAUAACGGUCCUAAGGUAGCGAAAUUCCUUGUCGGGUAAGUUCCGACCUGCACGAAUGGCGUAAUGAUGGCCAGGCUGUCUCCACCCGAGACUCAGUGAAAUUGAACUCGCUGUGAAGAUGCAGUGUACCCGCGGCAAGACGGAAAGACCCCGUGAACCUUUACUAUAGCUUGACACUGAACACUGGUCCUUGAUGUGUAGGAUAGGUGGGAGGCUUUGAAGUGUGGACGCCAGUCUGCAUGGAGCCGUCCUUGAAAUACCACCCUUUAAUGGCUGGUGUUCUAACGUGGGCCCGUGAUCCGGGUUGCGGACAGUGUCUGGUGGGUAGUUUGACUGGGGCGGUCUCCUCCUAAAGAGUAACGGAGGAGCACGAAGGUCAGCUAAUCCUGGUCGGACAUCAGGAGGUUAGUGCAAUGGCAUAAGCUGGCUUGACUGCGAGCGUGACGGCGCGAGCAGGUGCGAAAGCAGGUCAUAGUGAUCCGGUGGUUCUGAAUGGAAGGGCCAUCGCUCAACGGAUAAAAGGUACUCCGGGGAUAACAGGCUGAUACCGCCCAAGAGUUCAUAUCGACGGCGGUGUUUGGCACCUCGAUGUCGGCUCAUCACAUCCUGGGGCUGAAGUAGGUCCCAAGGGUAUGGCUGUUCGCCAUUUAAAGUGGUACGCGAGCUGGGUUUAGAACGUCGUGAGACAGUUCGGUCCCUAUCUGCCGUGGGCGCUGGAGAAUUGAGGGGGGCUGCUCCUAGUACGAGAGGACCGGAGUGGACGCAUCACUGGUGUUCGGGUUGUCAUGCCAAUGGCAUUGCCCGGUAGCUAAAUGCGGAAGAGAUAAGUGCUGAAAGCAUCUAAGCACGAAACUUGCCCCGAGAUGAGUUCUCCCUGACUCCUUGAGAGUCCUGAAGGAACGUUGAAGACGACGACGUUGAUAGGCCGGGUGUGUAAGCGCAGCGAUGCGUUGAGCUAACCGGUACUAAUGAACCGUGAGGCUUAACCUUACAACGCCGAAG